RNAcentral lists this ribosomal RNA (585 nucleotides) under uncultured bacterium. RNAcentral's name for it is "bacterial SSU rRNA". It matches the Rfam family "Bacterial small subunit ribosomal RNA", at positions 338 to 916 of the family's 1533-position model. The record is from RNAcentral.
CCUACGGGAGGCAGCAGUGGGGAAUUUUGGACAAUGGGCGCAAGCCUGAUCCAGCAAUGCCGCGUGAGUGAAGAAGGCCUUCGGGUUGUAAAGCUCUUUUGUCAGGGAAGAAACGGCUGAGGCUAAUAUCCUCGGCUAAUGACGGUACCUGAAGAAUAAGCACCGGCUAACUACGUGCCAGCAGCCGCGGUAAUACGUAGGGUGCAAGCGUUAAUCGGAAUUACUGGGCGUAAAGCGUGCGCAGGCGGUUUUGUAAGUCUGUCGUGAAAGCCCCGGGCUUAACCUGGGAAUUGCGAUGGAGACUGCAAGGCUUGAAUCUGGCAGAGGGGGGUAGAAUUCCACGUGUAGCAGUGAAAUGCGUAGAGAUGUGGAGGAACACCGAUGGCGAAGGCAGCCCCCUGGGUCAAGAUUGACGCUCAUGCACGAAAGCGUGGGGAGCAAACAGGAUUAGAUACCCUGGUAGUCCACGCCCUAAACGAUGUCUACUAGUUGUCGGGUCUUAAUUGACUUGGUAACGCAGCUAACGCGUGAAGUAGACCGCCUGGGGAGUACGGUCGCAAGAUUAAAACUCAAAUGAAAUGACGG